UACGUAGGGUGCAAGCGUUGUUCGGAAUCAUUGGGCGUAAAGCGCGUGUAGGUUGUUAAUUAAGUCGGGUGUGAAAUCCCUCGGCUCAACCGAGGAAGUGCAUCCGAAACUAAUUAGCUAGAGGAUGGUAGAGGAAGGUGGAAUUCCUAGUGUAGAGGUGAAAUUCGUAGAUAUUAGGAGGAAUACCGGCGGCGAAGGCGGCCUUCUGGACCAUUUCUGACACUGAGACGCGAAAGCGUGGGUAGCAAACAGG
This 253-nucleotide ribosomal RNA is filed under the name uncultured bacterium. Its description in RNAcentral is "partial 16S ribosomal RNA". It matches the Rfam family "Bacterial small subunit ribosomal RNA", at positions 524 to 776 of the family's 1533-position model. The record is from RNAcentral.